This is a regulatory RNA element of Culex pipiens (northern house mosquito), 46 nucleotides long. It matches the Rfam family "Histone 3' UTR stem-loop". Rfam says of the family: The mRNAs of metazoan histone genes lack a poly-A tail. Lineage: Eukaryota; Metazoa; Arthropoda; Insecta; Diptera; Culicidae. The record is from Rfam.
AAAUCAGCCCUUUUAAGGGCUACCAACAGUAUGAGUAAAGAGUUAU